Gasterosteus aculeatus aculeatus (three-spined stickleback) is the source of this 5551-nucleotide non-coding RNA. The record is from RefSeq and is a predicted model, not a curated record. NCBI's taxonomy places the organism in Eukaryota, Metazoa, Chordata, Actinopteri, Perciformes, Gasterosteidae.
UAUAUAUAUAUAUGGGAGAGUGUGAUAAUAUUCAGAGAACUCUGUAUUUACAAGAUUAAAGUAGUACAUUUUCUAUGAAAAUAGCUUGAUUGGAGAGAAGUUAUCUUCUGCUUGUGAAUUUCUCAUUUUAAUUUUAUUUCACGAGGAAUGCACGUUGUAAUUAUUAAACCAUCAACCGAAGAGCACCGUAGUAGACAAGUAGUAGCAAACAACUAGGCUAUAUUGUCCAAAUACAAGUUAAACAAAUGGAUUCAUUAACGUUGAUUUUCACCUCUGCCCAAUGCUUUUAUUCAUCUGUCAGCGUGUUUUAAUUGUUAUACUGAAUCUCUGUCAGACUCAUAGCAGAUAAGACAAUAAGAGGUCAGAGAAACAUGGUGGUAUCUUCUCCCGCUAGUUUCAUGGAUGUUUAGCACACUAUUUUGGGCCUUUUGUAACCUUCAUCACAACCACGGCAAGGAUGCACUUGUCAAGACUCUAACAUUGAUUAUUUAUCAACACAAAAUACCAAUGACAGAUGAAUCAUUCUUAAACAAUGAUGCUUGCCUUGUUAAAAUAAACUUAACUGAAUGGCAGUAUGUACGUAGAAGUUUGGCCACUGCGUUUAAAUCUGCUCUCUUUUGAGAAAUACGUCUACGAGCUCUUUUAAAACUCACUACGAGACAUGAAACACACAACAGAAAGUCUGUGCUUUCACUCAGCGGCACAUUGUGUUCAGGGCCAAGUGAUAGCAAGACGUUUGUGCACCGAUGUUUAUAGGGAGGAUCAUCUACACCCGAGUUGAUCACCAGCACAUUGUUUUUUCCCAGAGCCCCCCUUGUUUUAGCAUCUUAAUCGUCCUUCUAUAUAUUCCUGCCAAGGAUCGUUGGCACUCAAUUGCAGCAUUAUUGCAGCACUCAACCCGGGAUCGAUUCGCUGCUAAUGCAUCUGUAUGCUGCAAAAACUAACAUAUCUCAGGUUGCAGGUCCAUUUUAACUUUUCUAUAUUAAUCUCUUUCAUAACAAGCAGUUUGACAUCAGCAUCGUGGCUCAGAGUGCUGGCCAUGGAACCACGGUGUGUUUGAAUCUAAAUGUUUAAAUUUGUAUUUUUGACAGAGAAUUACUCAGACCGAAGCAUAAAUGUACAUUAGGCUGGGAAAAAGUACCAAAUGGGGCAGCAUUAGCAUAUACAGGAUUGACCUGAAAUGUGUAUGAGGUAAUUAUGACAGAUGGGAACGUUAAUCAGUUAUUUGCUCUCCUGUUUAUCAUCUGUAGAUGAUCAACUGAAUGUCAAAAACACGUGCCCUGUGAUCCUUGAGUUGUAGAGAGUUUACAUCACAUACUGCGUAUGAGCAUGUGAACCGUGUGCCUCUUCUUGCGAGAAUAAACGCUCUAGAAUCCUUUGGGUUUUCACAAUCUUUAUUUUUACGUUGUCCCCAGGACUCAAAUGUGAACUUUGACUUGGAGGCAAUGUCAGUACUCUUGUGUUUGUUUGCUUUUUGCUCUGACUGGCUGACUAAUACCACUGCAUCACACAGCGUGCUGGGAAAUCGUGUCAUCCAGCUGGUCCCAUAUAACUUUUAAAGGGGGGGGUAUAUGUGUUUACCAAACAAUACAAUACAUGUUAAUAGGACCACUUGUGUAUCUUGGUUUUAAAUAGACUAGUUGUAUAACAUUAAAAUGUGCUGUGCAGAGGUGUGAAUAAGACCUGCCUGCAGAGGGCAGUGAGUUCUAACUGUUCUCAGGUCUGUCUCUCUCUCUCUCUGUCCCACACACACUAAUCAACAUCACCCCGUCAGCCAUUUCUCAUCAAUAACAAUCAUAAAGUCACUCUCACAAAACCUUUUUUUAAAGUAUUUGUUGGUGGUUCAAUAUGUUGUUUCCUCAUCCAUCUGCUGAAAGGAGCCAGCGAGGAACCGCACAUCUCGGUUCGACACGUGCACGUUGCGCAGCUGAUCGGGGCCCCAAACGAGGUCCUCGGCACACAGCGACAAACGACUUCAUAUUUACAGGCGUUUAAACUGAUACAACCAUUGUUUGCAUUUUCUCGGCGAAAUGAAGUGAAGAUAUUGUAUUUGUAUUAGUUUAUUGAACUUUUGUGUAAAAACGUCCAGAAACACAAUAUUCAACGCCGAGCCGUCAAACGUGUCCGCAUGCAGCAUUGGAUCAACUAUUGACGAGUCUUUGUUUCGUUUCGUUUUUUUACCGUGAAAUAGGACUAAAAGGCGCACAGACCUCCUUCGUGGGAGGCGCUUUCCUUGGGACUCCUGCACGUGGCGCGCGCGCCGCGGGGUGUCGGGCGGUGUAAACGGGUAAAUCGGGUCGAUGUCCCCGUGAGGACUGCGAUCUGCACCGGGAUGUGCUGGUGAUUGAUUGGUAACACCGAUCCGAUACGAUGACUGCGCUCUGGCUUUUCACGGUGUUCGUUGUUCAAACGAGUCUAUCGGUGGCGUCGGGUCCCGGAUCGGGUCCCGGAUCGGGUCCCGGAUCGGGUCCCGGUCCCGUCUUCACAAACCACUGGGCGGUGCGGAUCGCAGGGGGUCAGAAACAGGCUGACAGGAUCGCAGCGAAAUAUGGGUACAUCAACUUUGGACAGAUAGGAAGUCUGGAGGGCCAUUACCAUUUCCACCACAGCAGAGUGGUUCGCAGAGCUCCAUACUCUUUGAAGGGCCCCCACAGCUUCAUCCAUAUGGAUCCUCAGGUGGACUGGGCUGAGCAACAGGUAGUAAAACACAGAGUAAAGAGAGACGCUCAAAGGGACCCCAGCUUCAUUAAUUUCAAUGAUCCUAAGUGGUCCAACAUGUGGUACAUUCAUUGCAAUGAUAAGAACAGCCGUUGCCACUCGGAGAUGAACAUUCUGGCUGCCUGGCAGAGAGGCUACACGGGCAAGCGUGUGGUGGUCACCAUAUUGGAUGACGGCAUUGAGAGAAACCACCCUGAUCUGGCACAGAACUAUGAUCAUCUGGCAAGUUAUGACAUCAAUGGUAAUGACCACGACCCCACACCACGUUAUGACUCCCGCAAUGAAAACAUGCAUGGAACUCGGUGUGCGGGUGAAGUGGCUGCAGUAGCCAAUAACUCCCAUUGUACCGUUGGAGUUGCCUAUAAUGCUCAUAUUGGAGGGAUUCGGAUGCUCGACGGUGAUGUGACUGAUUUGGUGGAGGCCAAGUCCCUUGGCAUCCGACCUGACUACAUUGACAUCUACAGUGCCAGCUGGGGGCCAAAAGACGACGGCAAGACCGUGGACGGCCCCGGGCUGCUGACUAAGCAGGCUUUUGAGCAGGGCAUCAAGAAGGGGCGCAAAGGCUUGGGGUCCAUUUUUGUCUGGGCGUCAGGUAACGGGGGUCGACAGGGGGAUCACUGUUCAUGUGACGGUUACACCAGCAGUAUAUACACAAUCUCCAUCUCCAGCACCACAGAGAACGGAAACAAGCCCUGGUACCUUGAGGUCUGCAGCUCCAUCAUUGCCACAACGUACAGCAGUGGAGAGUUUAACGAGAGGAAUAUUAUAACCACCGACCUCCGGCAACUCUGCACUGAUGGUCAUACCGGCACUUCUGUCUCCGCCCCAAUUGUGGCGGGGAUCGUAGCUCUCGCUCUGGAGGCAAACCUUUUGCUGACCUGGAGGGAUGUGCAACAUCUUCUGGUGAAGACAUCCAGACCGGUUCACCUGAAAGCUGAUGACUGGAAGACCAAUGCUGCAGGACUCAGAGUCAGCCACCUGUAUGGUUUUGGCCUUGUGGAUGCAGAGGCCAUGGUGCUCGAGGCUACCAAGUGGAGGACCGUUCCGCCUCAGCACACCUGCAGCCAGAUGCCUGUGCGACGCAACAGGUACAUCCAUGCUGGUCGAAGUCUGAACAGCAGCCUUACCACCUCGGGGUGUUCAGAAGAACCUGAGCAGCAUGUGGAUUACCUGGAGCAUGUGGUGGUGAAGGUCCUGAUUGCCCACCCACGGCGAGGAGACAUGGAGAUCAACCUCAUCUCUCCGUCUGGCACAACGUCACAGCUGCUGGCUAAGAGGUUGUUCGACAGUUCCAAUGAGGGUUUCAGGAACUGGGAAUUCAUGACGGUUCAUUUCUGGGGGGAGAGGUCACAGGGCUUAUGGACCCUGGAGAUUGUUGACACACCAUCAAAGCAACGCAACCCUGAGCUGCUGGGCAACCUAAAAGAAUGGACACUGAUCCUUUACGGCACAUCUCAGAACCCUUACCAGCCCCUCAGUGCUCAACAAUCCCGUUCAAGCAUGCUGGAGGUCACAGCCCCGGGGGAGACUCCGGAGCUGAAGGAGGAAGAUGAGUACAACGGGCCAUGCCACAGUGAGUGUGGAGACCAGGGCUGUGACGGACCAGACACCGAACACUGCCUCAACUGCGUCCACUUCAGCUUAGGCAGCCUGAAAAGUGGCAGAACAUGUGUGAGCCACUGUCCACUUGGACACUAUGGAGACAUCGCGUCUCGCCGCUGUAGACGCUGCUAUAAAGGUUGCGAGGGAUGUGUUGGCCUAUCAGCCAGCAACUGUCUCUCCUGUCGAAAAGGCCUUUACCUCAAUGCACUCAACUCCAGCUGCAUCCACACCUGUCCCCAAGGAUACUUUGCUGAUGAGAAUCAGAGACAGUGUCUGAAGUGUCAUGACACCUGUAUGAGAUGCCUGAGGUAUGGAGACAGAUGCACUGCCUGCAGCCAAGGCUACCGUCUGGCAGGGAUGACUUGUGUUCCUGAAUGCACCAAUGGAACCUUUUUCCAUGUGGAAGAGAUGACCUGCAGCCCAUGCCAUUCCUCCUGUAGGACCUGUACGGGGCCUGGUAAGGAGCAGUGUAUCCAAUGUGCCGAGGGCUUCCUGCAGCAGGAGUGGAGGUGUGUGCAGAUCUGUACUCCUGGCUUUUACGCUGCAGAGGCAGCCGGAGUCCCUCACAAGAUGUGUCACAGGUGAUAACACAGCUGAAAACCGCAGCUUCUCUUCAUCUCUGCACCCACGGACAAUGGGGGGGCGGACGGAACACUUUGCACACUGUAUUUGUUUUCCAUGGUGUGAGGAAAGCUGUCUGGGCUGCAGUGGCCCCGGAAAAACUUGCACCAAAUGCAAAGAGGGUUACAAUCUUGUUGGGAGGACUUGUAUUAUCAAUGCCUCCUGUAAUAAUGCUGAUGAGGCGUUCUGUGAGAUGGUCAAAUCCAACCGUCUCUGUGAGAAGAGGCUUUAUCGCCAGUUCUGCUGCCGCACCUGUCCGAUGAACGGAUGAGCAGCCAACCGUCCGUCGGUACCUCUUUGUCUUACUCUAAAUCUGCCAUAAAAGAUACGGAAGUGUCAUUGUUUUGUCAAAUCAAUUUUAUCCCCAAACGUUGAAUGUGUACAAAUAUUCUGCUAGAAAAAUGAAUGGUAUUGUAUAUGUACAAAACAGCAUUAUAAUGAAUGGACUUUCCGUGUUGUUUACUGCUUUGACUGCUUUCAAAGAUGGUAAAAAGAAAUGGAGCUGACACUGACAGUUUCUUUUUUCAUGCUUAAUAUUUUCAUUGUUAUUAACAAUAUUUAGCUCAGUUAAAAUGUAAUAAUAAAGCACACUGAGCUUUUCAAAACUGAA